GACGAACGCUGGCGGCGUGCUUAACACAUGCAAGUCGAACGGAAAGGCCCUGCUUUUGUGGGGUGCUCGAUUGGCGAACGGGUGAGUAACACGUGAGUAACCUGCCCUUGUCUUUGGUAUAUCUUCAGGAAACUGGGGCUAUUACCGGAUAGGAGCUCCUGCUGCUUGGUGGGGGUUGGUUAGUUUCGGCGGUUGGGGAUGGACUCGCGGCUUAUCAGCUUGUUGGUGGGGUAGUGGCUUACCAAGGCUUUGACGGGUAGCCGGCCUGAGAGGGUGACCGGGAAAAAGGGGACUGAGAUACGGAGCAGAAUGCAACGGGAGGAAGCAGAGGGGAAUAUUGCAAAAUGGGAGGAAGCGUGAUGCAGAAACGCCGCGAGCGGGAUGACGGCCUACGGGUUGAAAACAGAUGUCGAAUGUGAAGAAGCGAGAGUGACGGUAAUGGGUAAAGAAGCACCGGCUAACUACGUG
This 468-nucleotide ribosomal RNA is filed under the name uncultured bacterium. Its description in RNAcentral is "partial 16S ribosomal RNA". It matches the Rfam family "Bacterial small subunit ribosomal RNA", at positions 28 to 507 of the family's 1533-position model. The record is from RNAcentral.